GUGACAGUUGGGGGGAUGGGAAAUCUGCUGAUUGUCGAGUGCCAAAAAAACAGAGAUGGAGAAGAAAAGGUCAAAGCCAGGUGCCCAAUUUCGAAAAAAAAAGAAAAGAAGAAGAGGAGAAACGAGCAAAAGAUAAAGGGGCACUUCUUAAAUAUUUUGGAGCAUCCUCUGCCACUGGUCAGGAUGAGCCAACCACCUCCUCCGCUACACAUGUCUCCACAAAUAUCUGAUAUUGAGGAUGAAGACCUCUUUGCCUCUACUUCUACCCAGCAUGAGCUUUCAGAAAUGCCUGGAGCUGAACCCCCACUGAGCCCCACUGGCCCUCACAUCUGACUGACAGGAUUCGGACUGAGCUGGUUCACAGAGGACCAAGUAAAGUGCCACCUGGCUUUGUUUUCCGUAGGAAUGAGAGUAAUGUGAGAAGUUGCCACCACUAAUAUUUUAUGAAGACAUUAGUAAGUGGUGAAAAGAUGGCAAGAAGUUGGCUGAUUUAUUCAAUUAAGAACAACAGCCUCUUUUGCUUCUGCUGCAAAUUGUUUUCCAAGAGGAACAUCAAUUUAACAAGUGCAGGAAUGGCAAAUUGGAAACAUGCAUGCAAUGAUCUCACAUCAUAUGAAAACAGUUGUUAUAAUAAAAUAUUGCUGUUUGUGCAGAA
Long non-coding RNA from Carassius gibelio (silver crucian carp), 655 nucleotides. RefSeq lists it as uncharacterized. NCBI's taxonomy places the organism in Eukaryota, Metazoa, Chordata, Actinopteri, Cypriniformes, Cyprinidae. The transcript is spliced from 3 exons. The record is from RefSeq and is a predicted model, not a curated record.